This 253-nucleotide ribosomal RNA is filed under the name uncultured bacterium. RNAcentral's name for it is "partial 16S ribosomal RNA". It matches the Rfam family "Bacterial small subunit ribosomal RNA", at positions 524 to 776 of the family's 1533-position model. The record is from RNAcentral.
UACGUAGGGACCAAGCGUUGUUCGGAUUUACUGGGCGUAAAGGGCGCGUAGGCGGCGAAUCAAGUCAGUUGUGAAAUCUCCGAGCUUAACUCGGAACGGUCAACUGAUACUGUUUUGCUAGAGUGCAGAAAGGGCAACCGGAAUUCUUGGUGUAGCGGUGAAAUGCGCAGAUAUCAGGAGGAACACCGGUGGCGAAGGCGGGUCUCUGGGCCGAUACUGACGCUGAGGCGCGAAAGCCAGGGGAGCGAACGGG